CGGUUACCUUGUUACGACUUCACCCCAAUCAUUGGCUCUACCUUCGACUGCUGCCUCUUUACAGUUAGCUCACAGGCUUCGGGUAUUUCCAACUCUCAUGGUGUGACGGGCGGUGUGUACAAGGCCCGGGAACGUAUUCACGGCAGUAUGCUGACCUGCCAUUACUAGCAAUUCCAGCUUCAUGAAGGCGAAUUUCAGCCUUCAAUCCGAACUGAGACCGCUUUUAGGGUUUUGCUCCAUAUCACUAUAUUGCUUCCCUCUGUUACGGCCAUUGUAGUACGUGUGUAGCCCAGGACAUAAAGGGCAUGAUGAUUUGACGUCAUCCCCACCUUCCUCCGAUUUAUCACCGGCAGUCUCGCUAGAGUUCUCAGCAUUACCUGCUAGCAACUAACGAUAGGGGUUGCGCUCGUUGCGGGACUUAACCCAACAUCUCACGACACGAGCUGACGACAACCAUGCACCACCUGUAUACCAGUCCCGAAGGACUAUACUAUCUCUAGUAUAUUCCGGUAUAUGUCAAGCCCUGGUAAGGUUCUUCGCGUUGCUUCGAAUUAAACCACAUACUCCACUGCUUGUGCGGGCCCCCGUCAAUUCCUUUGAGUUUCA
This 606-nucleotide ribosomal RNA is filed under the name uncultured bacterium. Its description in RNAcentral is "partial 16S ribosomal RNA". The record is from RNAcentral.